UACGUAGGGGCGAGCGUUGUCCGGAUUUACUGGGCGUAAAGGGUGAGUAGGCGGUUGUAUAUGUCAGGUGUAAAAGGCUAUGGCUUAACCAUGGUUAGCACUUGAAACUGUACAACUUGAGUGCAUGAGAGGUAAGUGGAAUUCCUAGUGUAGCGGUGAAAUGCGUAGAUAUUAGGAGGAACACCAGUGGCGAAGGCGACUUACUGGACUGUAACUGACGCUGAGUCACGAAAGCGUGGCUAGCAAACAGGAUUAGAUACCCCCGUAGUCCCU
This 273-nucleotide ribosomal RNA is filed under the name uncultured prokaryote. RNAcentral describes it as "partial 16S ribosomal RNA". It matches the Rfam family "Bacterial small subunit ribosomal RNA", at positions 524 to 798 of the family's 1533-position model. The record is from RNAcentral.